Molecule: ribosomal RNA, 435 nt
Filed under: uncultured cyanobacterium
Lineage: Bacteria; Bacillati; Cyanobacteriota
Description: bacterial SSU rRNA
Rfam family: Bacterial small subunit ribosomal RNA
Source: RNAcentral
GAUGAACGCUGGCGGCGUGCUUAACACAUGCAAGUCGAACGAACCUUCGGGUUAGUGGCGGACGGGUGAGUAACGCGUGAGAAUCUGCCCUCAGGAGGGGGAUAACAGCUGGAAACGGCUGCUAAUACCCCAUAUGCCGCGAGGUGAAAUGAAUUUCGCCUGAGGAUGAGCUCGCGUCUGAUUAGCUAGUUGGUGUAGGUAAUGGCUCACCAAGGCAUCGAUCAGUAGCUGGUCUGAGAGGAUGAUCAGCCACACUGGGACUGAGACACGGCCCAGACUCCUACGGGAGGCAGCAGUGGGGAAUUUUCCGCAAUGGGCGAAAGCCUGACGGAGCAACGCCGCGUGAGGGAUGAAGGCCUCUGGGCUGUAAACCCCUUUUAUCAAGGAAGAAGAUCUGACGGUACUUGAUGAAUAAGCCACGGCUAAUUCCGUGCC